UAUUUUUUCUCGAUGAUCAGGGUCCAGCAACAAAAACCCGACUAUCGGGGUUUUUUGUUAUUUGCGCUUUUUAAAAGGCUGCAAAUACAAGUGCUUGGAAUUUAAAUUGGGCUAUAUGCCCUUUUUUU
This is a non-coding RNA of Vibrio variabilis, 128 nucleotides long. The record is from Rfam. Lineage: Bacteria; Pseudomonadati; Pseudomonadota; Gammaproteobacteria; Vibrionales; Vibrionaceae.